GACUAAUUGGGAUUGCCGCGUGAUGUUGGAAUCCGAAUGCAGAUUCAAGAGAAUUAGAAAGCCUCCCUACUUUAAUAGGUGGAUCAACUUAAAGAUGCCCUUCCAAGAGGUGUUCAGUGUUGUACACUGCAACCUGAAAGAUGCAGUCAAGCUGGCUGGACUGACAUGGGAGGGCCGCCCACAUUGCGGCCUUGAUGACGCCCGUAACACCGCUCGCCUCCUUGUCGUCCUGAUGAACCGAGGCUACAGGUUCUCGAUAGCCAACUCACUUGUGUGGCAUCCACUAGAUCGUCCACCAAUAUG
Molecule: unclassified non-coding RNA, 303 nt
Filed under: Hevea brasiliensis (rubber tree)
Lineage: Eukaryota; Viridiplantae; Streptophyta; Magnoliopsida; Malpighiales; Euphorbiaceae
Source: RNAcentral